This 105-nucleotide transfer RNA is filed under the name Armatimonadota bacterium. RNAcentral's name for it is "Armatimonadetes bacterium (activated sludge metagenome) tRNA-OTHER". It matches the Rfam family "tRNA". Rfam says of the family: Transfer RNA (tRNA) molecules are approximately 80 nucleotides in length. The record is from RNAcentral. Lineage: Bacteria; Bacillati; Armatimonadota.
CUCCCGUGGUCUAAUGGAUAGGGCAACCGACUGGGGAAGCUGACACCCUACGCCAUCCUGGCGGCGUGUAGUCGGUCGAUGAGGGUUCGAGUCCUUCCGGGAGCA